AGUCGUAACAAGGUAACCGUAGGUGAACCUGCGGUUGGAUCAUUAACAAAUGAUAUCAACGGAGUCUAACUGGCUUUCGAGUUAGUUAGUCUCUAAUACCCCAAACUAUGUGAACCGUUAUUAUGUAAUUUUGUCUGAUUCGCUUAACUAGCCUUCGGGUUGGUUAGUUAGUCGGGCAAAUAACUAUGAAAACACCCUUUAUUGAAAACCCAAGUGACAACUUUUGAAAAGCCAAUGUAGGACUUGAUUACUAGCGAUAGUAUUAAGACCUGCACUGAUCUUGUUAAUUAUAAAAGUAAACAACUUUUGACAACGGAUCUCUUGGCUCUC
Molecule: unclassified non-coding RNA, 330 nt
Filed under: fungal sp.
Lineage: Eukaryota; Fungi
Description: partial internal transcribed spacer region
Rfam family: Eukaryotic small subunit ribosomal RNA (bases 1-45)
Source: RNAcentral